RNAcentral lists this ribosomal RNA (498 nucleotides) under uncultured bacterium. Its description in RNAcentral is "partial 16S ribosomal RNA". It matches the Rfam family "Bacterial small subunit ribosomal RNA", at positions 28 to 523 of the family's 1533-position model. The record is from RNAcentral.
GAUGAACGCUAGCUACAGGCUUAACACAUGCAAGUCGAGGGGUAGCAGGGUAGCAAUACCGCUGACGACCGGCGCACGGGUGAGUAACACGUAUCCAACCUUCCCAUAACUCAGGGAUAGCCUUUCGAAAGAAAGAUUAAUACCUGAUAGUACUUAAGAAAGGCAUCUUUUUUAAGUUAAAGAUUUAUUGGUUAUGGAUGGGGAUGCGUUCCAUUAGAUAGUUGGUGAGGUAACGGCUCACCAAGUCUUCGAUGGAUAGGGGUGCUGAGAGGAAGGUCCCCCACAUUGGUACUGAGACACGGACCAAACUCCUACGGGAGGCAGCAGUGAGGAAUAUUGGACAAUGGGCGAGAGCCUGAACCAGCCAAGUAGCGUGAAGGAUGAAGGUCCUAUGGAUUGUGAACUUCUUUUAUAGUAGAAUAAAGUGAUCCACGUGUGGAUUUUUGUAUGUAUACUAUGAAUAAGGAUCGGCUAACUCCGUGCCAGCAGCCGCCGUAA